Molecule: ribosomal RNA, 406 nt
Filed under: uncultured prokaryote
Also listed under: 1 other name
Description: bacterial SSU rRNA
Rfam family: Bacterial small subunit ribosomal RNA
Source: RNAcentral
UGGGGAAUAUUGCACAAUGGAGGAAACUCUGAUGCAGCGACGCCGCGUGAGUGAAGAAGGUCUUCGGAUCGUAAAACUCUGUCCUUGGUGAAGAAAGAAAUGACGGUAGCCAAGGAGGAAGCCCCGGCUAACUACGUGCCAGCAGCCGCGGUAAUACGUAGGGGGCGAGCGUUGUCCGGAUUUACUGGGCGUAAAGGGUGAGUAGGCGGUAAUAUGUGUCAGGUGUAAAAGGCUAAGGCUUAACCAUAGUUAGCAUUUGAAACUGUAUUACUUGAGUGCAGGAGAGGUAAGUGGAAUUCCUAGUGUAGCGGUGAAAUGCGUAGAUAUUAGGAGGAACACCAGUGGCGAAGGCGACUUACUGGACUGUAACUGACGCUGAGUCACGAAAGCGUGGGUAGCAAACAGG